RNAcentral lists this ribosomal RNA (490 nucleotides) under Streptococcus lutetiensis. Its description in RNAcentral is "bacterial SSU rRNA". It matches the Rfam family "Bacterial small subunit ribosomal RNA", at positions 57 to 531 of the family's 1533-position model. Lineage: Bacteria; Bacillati; Bacillota; Bacilli; Lactobacillales; Streptococcaceae. The record is from RNAcentral.
GCAGUAGACGCUGAAGACUUUAGCUUGCUAAAGUUGGAAGAGUUGCGAACGGGUGAGUAACGCGUAGGUAACCUGCCUACUAGCGGGGGAUAACUAUUGGAAACGAUAGCUAAUACCGCAUAACAGCAUUUAACCCAUGUUAGAUGCUUGAAAGGAGCAAUUGCUUCACUAGUAGAUGGACCUGCGUUGUAUUAGCUAGUUGGUGAGGUAACGGCUCACCAAGGCGACGAUACAUAGCCGACCUGAGAGGGUGAUCGGCCACACUGGGACUGAGACACGGCCCAGACUCCUACGGGAGGCAGCAGUAGGGAAUCUUCGGCAAUGGGGGCAACCCUGACCGAGCAACGCCGCGUGAGUGAAGAAGGUUUUCGGAUCGUAAAGCUCUGUUGUAAGAGAAGAACGUGUGUGAGAGUGGAAAGUUCACACAGUGACGGUAACUUACCAGAAAGGGACGGCUAACUACGUGCCAGCAGCCGCGGUAAUACGUAGG